AAUCCCGAGUAGCAUGGGGCACGUGAAAUCCCGUGUGAAUCAGCGAGGACCACCUCGUAAGGCUAAAUACUCCUGAGUGACCGAUAGCGAAAUAGUACCACGAGGGAAAGGUGAAAAGAACCCCUGUUGGGGAGUGAAAUAGAACAUGAAACCGUAUGCUGACAAGCAGUGGGAGCAAGAAUGCUUGUGACCGCGUGCCUGUUGAAGAAUGAGCCGGCGACUUAUAGGGAGUGGCUGGGUUAAGGAGUAAAAUCCGGAGCCCAAGCGAAAGCGAGUCUGAAUAGGGCGCAAAUGGUCACUUCUUAUGGACCCGAACCCGGGUGAUCUAUUCAUGGCCAGGAUGAAGCUUGGGUAACACCAAGUGGAGGUCCGAACCGACCGAUGUUGAAAAAUCGGCGGAUGAGCUGUGAAUAGGGGAGAAAUUCCAAUCGAACUCGGAGCUAGCUGGAUCUCCCCGAAAUGCGUUGAGGCGCAGCGGUAACGAUGAACUGUCUUGGGGUAAAGCUACUGUUUCGAUGCGGGCUGCGAAAGCGGUACCAAGUCGUGGCAAACUCAGAAUACAAGACAUGUCUUCCGUAAACCAGUGAGACAGUGGGGGAUAAGCUUCAUUGUCAAGAGGGAAACAGCCCAGAUCACCAGCUAAGGCCCCUAAAUGGUCACUAAGUGGAAAAGGAUGUGAGAAUGCUGAAACAACCAGGAGGUUUGCUUAGAAGCAGCCACCCUUCAAAGAGUGCGUAAUAGCUCACUGGUAAAGCGUUCUUGCGCCGAUAAUGGCCGGGACUAAGUGACCUGCCGAAGCUGUGAUAUAAUUUAUUAUAUAAAUUAUAGGUAGGGGAGCGUUCCGCUCUCGGGUGAAGUUUUCACGUAAGUGGGGAUGGACGAAGCGGAAGUGAGAAUGUCGGCUUGAGUAACGAAAACAUUGGUGAGAAUCCAAUGCCCCGAAAACCUAAGGGUUCCUCCACUAGGUUCGUCCAUGGGGGGUUAGUCAGGACCUAAGACUAGGCCAAACGGCGUCGUCGAUGGAAAACAGGUUAAUAUUCCUGUACGAGUUAAAUUAUGAUCUGAGGGACGAAGGAGGCUAAGCUAGAACUGUUUUUGGAUUGCAGUGGAAGCGUUUAGACGUUGAGAGAUAGAAAAAAAGCUAUCUUGAGUGGAGACGUGAUCCCUAUUUGAUGGUUCGCCGUCGAGUAGCUAGUGAUGUCAUACUUCCAAGAAAAGCUCAUACAUCUUUAUAAUUUAAUGACCUGUACCUGAAACCGACACAGGUAGGUUGGUAGAGAAUACCAAGGGGCGCGAGAGAACUCUCUCUAAGGAACUCGGCAAACUGGCCCCGUAACUUCGGAAGAAGGGGCACCCAUCCGUAACAAGGUGGGUCGCAGUGACCAGGCCCAGGCGACUGUUUACCAAAAACACAGGUCUCCGCAAAGUCGUAAGACAAUAUAUGGGGGCUGACGCCUGCCCAGUGCCGGAAGGUUAAGGAAGUUGGUUAUUUCGUAAGAAAAAAGCUGACGACCGAAGCCCCGGUGAACGGCGGUCGUAACUAUAACGAUCCUAAGGUAGCGAAAUUCAUUGUCGAGUAAGUUUCGACCUGCACGAAAGGCGUAACGAUCUGGGCGCUGUCUCGGAGAGAGGCUCGGUGAAAUAGACUUGUCCCGUGAAGAUGCGGACUACCUACACCUGGACAGAAAGACCCUAUGAAGCUUGACUGUAUCUUGGAAUUGGGUUUGGGCUUUUCUUGCGCAGCCUAGGUGGGAGGCUAUGAAGAUUACCUUCCGGGGUAAUUAGAGCCGUCAUUGAGAGACCACUCUGGAAGAGCUAGAAUCCUAAUGGGGAUCCUUGAAUCAGGACCCUUGACAGUUUCAGGUGGGCAGUUUAUUUGGGGCGAAUGCCUCCUAAAAGGUAACGGAGGCGUGCAAAGGUUCCCUCAGUCUGGACGGAAAUCAGACAUUGAGUGUAAAGGCAAAAGGGAGCUUGACUGCAAGACCUACAAGUCGAGCAGGGGCGAAAGCCGGCCUUAGUGAUCCGACGGUGCCGCGUGGAAGGGCCGUCGCUCAACGGAUAAAAGUUACUCUAGGGAUAACAGGCUGAUCUUCCCCAAGAGUUCACAUCGACGGGAAGGUUUGGCACCUCGAUGUCGGCUCAUCACAUCCUCGGUCUGUAGUAGGUCCGAAGGGUUGGGCUGUUCGCCCAUUAAAGUGGUACGUGAGCUGGGUUCAAAACGUCGUGAGACAGUUUGGUCCAUAUCCGGUGUAGGCGUUAGAGCAUUGAGAGUAGCCUUUCAUAGUACGAGAGGACCUGAAAGGACAUGCCAAUUGUGUACCAGUUCUCAUUCCAAUGGGAAACGCUGGGUAGCUACGCAUGGAUAGAUAACUGCUGAAAGCAUCUAAGUAGGAAGCUAAACUCAAGAUGAGUGCUCUCUAAGGCCGCGGCUAGACAAGCCGUUAUAUAGGUAUCAGGUGUACAGUCAGCAAUGGCUUUAGCCGAGAUAUACUAAAGGCCGUUUGAUUUUGACCUU
RNAcentral lists this ribosomal RNA (2515 nucleotides) under Chlamydomonas reinhardtii. RNAcentral describes it as "bacterial LSU rRNA". It matches the Rfam family "Bacterial large subunit ribosomal RNA", at positions 404 to 2925 of the family's 2925-position model. The record is from RNAcentral. Lineage: Eukaryota; Viridiplantae; Chlorophyta; Chlorophyceae; Chlamydomonadales; Chlamydomonadaceae.